RNAcentral lists this ribosomal RNA (251 nucleotides) under uncultured bacterium. Its description in RNAcentral is "partial 16S ribosomal RNA". It matches the Rfam family "Bacterial small subunit ribosomal RNA", at positions 525 to 775 of the family's 1533-position model. The record is from RNAcentral.
ACGUAGGAUGCAAGCGUUAUCCGGAAUGACUGGGCGUAAAGGGUGCGUAGGCGGUAAAUCAAGUUGGCAGCGUAAUUCCGGGGCUUAACCGCGGAACUACUGCCAAAACUGGUGAACUAGAGUGUGUCAGGGGUAAGUGGAAUUCCUAGUGUAGCGGUGGAAUGCGUAGAUAUUAGGAGGAACACCGGAGGCGAAAGCGACUUACUGGGGCACAACUGACGCUGAGGCACGAAAGCGUGGGGAGCAAACAG